CUAACCUCUUUCCCUCCCCCCCCCCACACCCACCCACAAUUUCUCACUCAUUUUAAAAGUCGUGUUGCCAUAAUAGUAUAACUAGUAAGAAUUUUGUUUGAAAUGGUUGUACAUAUUGAAUCUAUAAGAGAACUAUUUGAGUUGCUGUCUCCGGAGUAUCUGAUACUUAUUUAUUAUAAUUCUGUCAAUUGUGGACGUUAUUUUUGGUUGUUACUCUUUGAUAUUGGAAGCACUUUUCUGUACAUAUGGAGUGUAGACAAUAUUAGCACAAUAGAAACAGUAUUUUCAUUAUAUAAAUGUACCGGUAUUUCAGAUUUUUAAACUACCUAAGGCGAGCCUCAUUCAUUGAAGGUUUACAUAUAUAUAUAUAUUUUAGCUUUAUGACUAUCUUUGGCGAGCCCCAUUCAUUGCAAGUCGUCUGCUGAUAGUAGUGAGUGCAUCACUACUGACCUAGUUAAAUGUUAUAGCAGGCUAAUUUUAUUUUGCCCGUAAAACAAGUGCUUAAUUUAUGGAAUGGAGGUACAUUAUAUAAAAAUCAAUGUUAGGACAUUUUUUUUUCCGCAGCAUAGAACAAAUGAGGACAAAAUAUAAAUAGCCAAAUAUUUUGAAGCAAAAAUAUUUUGGUUCAUUUUGAGCCCAUGCAUAACAAAUGAGAUCCUGUUGUGUGACAAUUAUCACUGAGUGUCAGGAAAUACCCUUUGAUGUGUUUCUUUUUGUACUGUUUUUACCAAGUGUCGAGUCUCGAAGUGGGGUCAGAGUGGGGUCAUUAUGAGGUCCACCAAUAUAUUCUUUUCUUUUUAUUCAACUUGUAUAAUCCUUAGAAAAAGAAGUGGCUGUGAAAGAGAAGAGUUGUUUGCCCCUUGUUGGUCUUGUUGGCCGUAUUAUCAGCUUCUUCCAGAUUUGUUUUCUUUCGUUUCAUUUGUUUUAUCUAUUGUGUGUCGUUUUUGUUUUUAAAUUACCAUAAUAUAUAUGUUUUCACAAUGUCAGCUAACAAAUGGUUUUAUUUUGAAGCAAAGAAAUAAAUCAAUUCUAAUUAUAUA
Non-coding RNA from Biomphalaria pfeifferi, 1040 nucleotides. NCBI's taxonomy places the organism in Eukaryota, Metazoa, Mollusca, Gastropoda, Planorbidae. The record is from the annotation of a GenBank genome assembly.